Molecule: unclassified non-coding RNA, 266 nt
Filed under: uncultured fungus
Lineage: Eukaryota; Fungi
Description: sequence contains 5.8S rRNA gene
Source: RNAcentral
GAACGCAUAUUGCGCCCGCCAGCACUCUGGCAGGCAUGCCUGUUCGAGCGUCAUUUCAACACUCAGGUCUUAGUCGCCUGGCGUUGGGGCGCUGCGGCACGGCCCGCAGGCCCCAAAUAUAGCGGCGGACCCGCCGCGGCCCUGAGCGCAGUAGUUGACAAAGCCUCGCUCCGGCGGCCGCGGCGCGGCCCUGCCCCCGCCCAACAGCGCGAAACGCGCGAGCAAAGUUGACCUCGGAUCAGGUAGGACUACCCGCUGAACUUAAG